RNAcentral lists this ribosomal RNA (250 nucleotides) under uncultured bacterium. Its description in RNAcentral is "partial 16S ribosomal RNA". It matches the Rfam family "Bacterial small subunit ribosomal RNA", at positions 57 to 305 of the family's 1533-position model. The record is from RNAcentral.
GCAAGUCGAGCGGAAACGAGAAUAGCUUGCUAUUCGGCGUCGAGCGGCGGACGGGUGAGUAAUGCUUGGGAAUAUGCCUCUGAGUGGGGGACAACAGUUGGAAACGACUGCUAAUACCGCAUAACGUCUACGGACCAAAGGAGGGGAUCUUCGGACCUUUCGCCAUUUGAUUAGCCCAAGUGAGAUUAGCUAGUUGGUGAGGUAAAGGCUCACCAAGGCGACGAUCUCUAGCUGGUUUGAGAGGAUGAUC